Molecule: long non-coding RNA, 886 nt
Filed under: Heterocephalus glaber (naked mole-rat)
Lineage: Eukaryota; Metazoa; Chordata; Mammalia; Rodentia; Bathyergidae
Description: lncRNA (ENSHGLG00100037645.1)
Source: RNAcentral
CCACCUAAUGGCCCUAGGCGACACACUGAGCAGCUCUGUGGAAUCAGUUUAUGGAUCUUCAGUACCUGUGGGUGCAGGAGGUUGGCACUGAAGCACACAGGAGACCUGCAGCUCCUGUAGUGAUACCUAUGGAAAGCAGCUUGCUCCACCCAUUCCUCUUCAGCUAUUUAUGAUAAGUGUUGAAAAGCACUACUUAUGGAUACUUUAGAAGGAAAGCUUUUAAGCAUCCUGGAGGUCACUUGAGAAGAAACCCAUCUUUCAGUGGGUCGUCAUCUUCUACUGUAAAGCUUGCUGUACCUGUGUAAUGGGCUUGUCCCGAUACCUCCACUAUAACAGCUUUGAAAUCACCACAUUUUGCUUCCUGUGAAAAGAAGAUGAAAAGAACAAAAUAUUGCACACAUGUUGUAUCUGACGUACACGUUAUGCUCUUGACUGUUCAUGCUAAGAAAAACCCAAGGGUUAAUUCUACAGGCAAGGGAAAUGACAGGAUUUUAAGGAGAGUAACAUAGCCAAAUUUGUGUUUUAGAUAAAUUUAGCUGUAAAGUGUGAGACACACUGGAGUAGGGAAAAAAUACUAGCAGCCCAGAAACUUGUUAGAGAGAAAACAUUGAUUCACUGAGUAAACCUGGAGUCACUAGGGAGUUUUCAGUGAAGGUGGAGGCGAAUGUAUUACAGAGAGACUUGGCCUGUUGACCAAUGAAUGUAGUAAGUAAAGAAUUAGGAAUGAGUUAAAUAUGACCAUAAGCUUGGAAGCAUUGAUGGUGAUGCCAUCUUAACCAUGAUGGGAAAUAUGAGGGGCAGCACGUGGGAAACAGGAAGGGAAGAAGGAAAGAAGGAAGGGAGGGGAGGGAGCGAUGGAGAGAGAGGGAGAGGGAGGAGGGAGGGA